Molecule: non-coding RNA, 97 nt
Filed under: uncultured Ruminococcus sp.
Lineage: Bacteria; Bacillati; Bacillota; Clostridia; Eubacteriales; Oscillospiraceae
Description: THF riboswitch
Rfam family: THF (Tetrahydrofolate) riboswitch aptamer
About the family: THF riboswitch presents a pseudoknot that joins P1-P2 and the loop of P3 and two THF binding.
Source: RNAcentral
CAGAGUAAGAGGAUACGCGUAAAGUGUCUGCCUGUACGGGGAGUUGACGGCGGAACGAAGUGAAGAUUCAUGCGGUGUAUCCUCUGCAUCCCGCUGU